This 251-nucleotide ribosomal RNA is filed under the name uncultured Coprobacillus sp. Its description in RNAcentral is "partial 16S ribosomal RNA". It matches the Rfam family "Bacterial small subunit ribosomal RNA", at positions 93 to 339 of the family's 1533-position model. The record is from RNAcentral. Lineage: Bacteria; Bacillati; Bacillota; Erysipelotrichia; Erysipelotrichales; Coprobacillaceae.
GAGUGGCGAACGGGUGAGUAAUACAUAAGUAACCUGCCCUCAUGAGGGGGAUAACUAUUAGAAAUGAUAGCUAAGACCGCAUAGGUGAAGGGGUCGCAUGACCGCUUCAUUAAAUAUCCGUAUGGAUAGCAGGAGGAUGGACUUAUGGCGCAUUAGCUGGUUGGUGAGGUAACGGCUCACCAAGGCGACGAUGCGUAGCCGACCUGAGAGGGUGGACGGCCACACUGGGACUGAGACACGGCCCAGACUCC